RNAcentral lists this unclassified non-coding RNA (383 nucleotides) under Hevea brasiliensis (rubber tree). The record is from RNAcentral. Lineage: Eukaryota; Viridiplantae; Streptophyta; Magnoliopsida; Malpighiales; Euphorbiaceae.
AUUUACGUACUCCAUGACUCCAUAAUUCUAAGAUGAGCCUAUUAUGCAAAGCAUGAAAAUGAGAUUUCAGAAACACAUUCAACUUAAUACACUUGAUUUUCUUAUCCUUUCACAAUUACAUUGACUCCAUUGAGAAUGAUCCAUGGAACUUUUAAGAUGACACUCCUUUCCAAAAGGACCAGAAGAUUUUGGAAUUCACUCAACUCUUCUAGGUGUAUGCAAGGAGCAGAAAAAGUUAUAACUAUAGAAUGUUGCAAAUUUCUAAGCACUGUAAUGAUAGCAAACUUUGCAAGAAGAUGCUUUAAUUUUUGUGGAGCCAAAUACAAUUUGAAGGCUUAUCUAGGAUGCAAUCCAACAUACCAAACCCUGUACAUCCAAUACUG